RNAcentral lists this ribosomal RNA (444 nucleotides) under uncultured organism. RNAcentral's name for it is "partial 16S ribosomal RNA". It matches the Rfam family "Bacterial small subunit ribosomal RNA", at positions 335 to 796 of the family's 1533-position model. The record is from RNAcentral.
ACUCCUACGGGAGGCAGCAGUGGGGAAUAUUGGACAAUGGGCGCAAGCCUGAUCCAGCCAUGCCGCGUGAGUGAUGAAGGCCCUAGGGUUGUAAAGCUCUUUCACCGGUGAAGAUAAUGACGGUAACCGGAGAAGAAGCCCCGGCUAACUUCGUGCCAGCAGCCGCGGUAAUACGAAGGGGGCUAGCGUUGUUCGGAUUUACUGGGCGUAAAGCGCACGUAGGCGGACUAUUAAGUCAGGGGUGAAAUCCCGGGGCUCAACCCCGGAACUGCCUUUGAUACUGGUAGUCUUGAGUUCGAGAGAGGUGAGUGGAAUUCCGAGUGUAGAGGUGAAAUUCGUAGAUAUUCGGAGGAACACCAGUGGCGAAGGCGGCUCACUGGCUCGAUACUGACGCUGAGGUGCGAAAGCGUGGGGAGCAAACAGGAGUAGAUACCCCGGUAGUCC